ACAUGCAAGUCGAGCGNACNGAAGGGAGCUUGCUCCCGGAUGUUAGCGGCGGACGGGUGAGUAACACGUGGGUAACCUGCCUGUAAGACUGGGAUAACUCCGGGAAACCGGAGCUAAUACCGGAUAGUUCCUUGAACCGCAUGGUUCAAGGAUGAAAGACGGUUUCGGCUGUCACUUACAGAUGGACCCGCGGCGCAUUAGCUAGUUGGUGGGGUAAUGGCUCACCAAGGCGACGAUGCGUAGCCGACCUGAGAGGGUGAUCGGCCACACUGGGACUGAGACACGGCCCAGACUCCUACGGGAGGCAGCAGUAGGGAAUCUUCCGCAAUGGACGAAAGUCUGACGGAGCAACGCCGCGUGAGUGAUGAAGGUUUUCGGAUCGUAAAGCUCUGUUGUUAGGGAAGAACAAGUGCGAGAGUAACUGCUCGCACCUUGACGGUACCUAACCAGAAAGCCACGGCUAACUACGUGCCAGCAGCCGCGGUAAUACGUAGGUGGCAAGCGUUGUCCGGAAUUAUUGGGCGUAAAGGGCUCGCAGGCGGUUUCUUAAGUCUGAUGUGAAAGCCCCCGGCUCAACCGGGGAGGGUCAUUGGAAACUGGGAAACUUGAGUGCAGAAGAGGAGAGUGGAAUUCCACGUGUAGCGGUGAAAUGCGUAGAGAUGUGGAGGAACACCAGUGGCGAA
This 683-nucleotide ribosomal RNA is filed under the name unidentified microorganism. RNAcentral's name for it is "bacterial SSU rRNA". It matches the Rfam family "Bacterial small subunit ribosomal RNA", at positions 53 to 719 of the family's 1533-position model. The record is from RNAcentral.